UACGUAGGGUCCGAGCGUUGUCCGGAAUUAUUGGGCGUAAGGAGCUCGUAGGCGGUUUGUCGCGUCUGCUGUGAAAUCCCGAGGCUCAACCUCGGGUCUGCAGUGGGUACGGGCAGACUGGAGUGCGGUAGGGGAGAAUGGAAUUCCUGGUGUAGCGGUGGAAUGCGCAGAUAUCAGGAGGAACACCGAUGGCGAAGGCAGUUCUCUGGGCCGUAACUGACGCUGAGGAGCGAAAGCGUGGGGAGCGAACAGG
Molecule: ribosomal RNA, 253 nt
Filed under: uncultured bacterium
Lineage: Bacteria
Description: partial 16S ribosomal RNA
Rfam family: Bacterial small subunit ribosomal RNA
Source: RNAcentral